This 468-nucleotide long non-coding RNA is filed under the name Solanum lycopersicum (tomato). RNAcentral's name for it is "long non-coding RNA (SLYC_LNC000846)". The record is from RNAcentral. Lineage: Eukaryota; Viridiplantae; Streptophyta; Magnoliopsida; Solanales; Solanaceae.
CAAAGAGUACAGAGUUUUGUUCCCACGAAUCAAGCCAGUUUAGACACUUGUGUUCAUCAAUUGCAGCCUCGUUCCCUCUUUCAGCUUUGUCCUGUUUUUCUUUGUUACAGAGUGAAACAGGGCCAAUGGUCCAAAUUUUCUUGUUUUUCGCAUUCAUUAAACCCUCGAUGUAUUCUUUUUCCAAAUCCUCAAAGGUAUUCACCACCAUUCCAUAAGCUUCCUCCUCCGCUUUCUUCAUUUUUUCACUCAUUACUCGCCACUCUUCAUUUCUCGGCCUGGCAGCAUUUCCAAGCUGAUUUUUGGUUAGUUCAAUCUUGUCGAACAAUCCAGGCACUCGAAAAUACUCUGUAUCAGACUCGAUCUUUUCUAACCCUUCCCAAUCUUUCAAAUUAUGUAAACAUAACAAAGAAAAGCAACCCAUUCCAUGGAAAACAAUUCUAGGAAUGUUGAACUUUUGUGCAACAUUAG